Molecule: ribosomal RNA, 253 nt
Filed under: uncultured bacterium
Lineage: Bacteria
Description: partial 16S ribosomal RNA
Rfam family: Bacterial small subunit ribosomal RNA
Source: RNAcentral
UACAGAGGUCCCAAGCGUUGUUCGGAUUCGCUGGGCGUAAAGGGUGCGUAGGCGGUCGGGUAAGUCUGAUGUGAAAUCUCACAGCUUAACUGUGAAACUGCAUUGGAUACUAUCCGGCUAGAGGAAUGGAGGGGAGACUGGAAUACUUGGUGUAGCAGUGAAAUGCGUAGAUAUCAAGUGGAACACCAGUGGCGAAGGCGAGUCUCUGGACAUUUCCUGACGCUGAGGCACGAAAGCCAGGGGAGCAAACGGG